This 495-nucleotide ribosomal RNA is filed under the name uncultured bacterium. Its description in RNAcentral is "partial 16S ribosomal RNA". It matches the Rfam family "Bacterial small subunit ribosomal RNA", at positions 28 to 507 of the family's 1533-position model. The record is from RNAcentral.
GACGAACGCUGGCGGCGUGCCUAAUACAUGCAAGUAGAACGCUGAAGGAGGAGCUUGCUUCUCUGGAUGAGUUGCGAACGGGUGAGUAACGCGUAGGUAACCUGCCUGGUAGCGGGGGAUAACUAUUGGAAACGAUAGCUAAUACCGCAUAAGAGUAGAUGUUGCAUGACAUUUGCUUCAAAGGUGCAAUUGCAUCACUACCAGAUGGACCUGCGUUGUAUUAGCUAGUUGGUGGGGUAACGGCUCACCAAGGCGACGAUACAUAGCCGACCUGAGAGGGUGAUCGGCCACACUGGGACUGAGACACGGCCCAGACUCCUACGGGAGGCAGCAGUAGGGAAUCUUAGGCAAUGGACGGAAGUCUGACCGAGCAACGCCGCGUGAGUGAAGAAGGUUUUCGGAUCGUAAAGCUCUGUUGUAAGAGAAGAACGAGUGUGAGAGUGGAAAGUUCACACUGUGACGGUAUCUUACCAGAAAGGGACGGCUAACUACGUG